GGCACCGUGGCCUAAUGGUAAGGCGCUGCUUUCCGGUUUGGUGAAUGGCAGAGAUUGUGGGUUCGAGUCCCAUCGGUGUCG
The sequence is a transfer RNA, 81 nucleotides long. It matches the Rfam family "tRNA". Rfam says of the family: Transfer RNA (tRNA) molecules are approximately 80 nucleotides in length. Their secondary structure includes four short double-helical elements and three loops (D, anti-codon, and T loops). The record is from Rfam.